AGAGUUUGAUCCUGGCUCAGGACGAACGCUGGCGGCGUGCUUAACACAUGCAAGUCGAACGGAAAGGCCCCUUCGGGGGUACUCGAGUGGCGAACGGGUGAGUAACACGUGGGUGAUCUGCCCUGCACUUUGGGAUAAGCCUGGGAAACUGGGUCUAAUACCGAAUAGGACUCCGGACUGCAUGGUCUGGGGUGGAAAGCUUUUGCGGUGUGGGAUGGGCCCGCGGCCUAUCAGCUUGUUGGUGGGGUGAUGGCCUACCAAGGCGACGACGGGUAGCCGGCCUGAGAGGGUGUCCGGCCACACUGGGACUGAGAUACGGCCCAGACUCCUACGGGAGGCAGCAGUGGGGAAUAUUGCACAAUGGGCGCAAGCCUGAUGCAGCGACGCCGCGUGAGGGAUGACGGCCUUCGGGUUGUAAACCUCUUUCGCCAGGGACGAAGCGCAAGUGACGGUACCUGGAGAAGAAGCACCGGCCAACUACGUGCCAGCAGCCGCGGUAAUACGUAGGGUGCGAGCGUUGUCCGGAAUUACUGGGCGUAAAGAGCUCGUAGGUGGUUUGUCGCGUUGUUCGUGAAAACUCACAGCUUAACUGUGGGCGUGCGGGCGAUACGGGCAGACUGGAGUACUGCAGGGGAGACUGGAAUUCCUGGUGUAGCGGUGGAAUGCGCAGAUAUCAGGAGGAACACCGGUGGCGAAGGCGGGUCUCUGGGCAGUAACUGACGCUGAGGAGCGAAAGCGUGGGGAGCGAACAGGAUUAGAUACCCUGGUAGUCCACGCCGUAAACGGUGGGUACUAGGUGUGGGUUUCCUUCCUUGGGAUCCGUGCCGUAGCUAACGCAUUAAGUACCCCGCCUGGGGAGUACGGCCGCAAGGCUAAAACUCAAAGGAAUUGACGGGGGCCCGCACAAGCGGCGGAGCAUGUGGAUUAAUUCGAUGCAACGCGAAGAACCUUACCUGGGUUUGACAUGCACAGGACGCCGGCAGAGAUGUCGGUUCCCUUGUGGCCUGUGUGCAGGUGGUGCAUGGCUGUCGUCAGCUCGUGUCGUGAGAUGUUGGGUUAAGUCCCGCAACGAGCGCAACCCUUGUCUCAUGUUGCCAGCACGUUAUGGUGGGGACUCGUGAGAGACUGCCGGGGUCAACUCGGAGGAAGGUGGGGAUGACGUCAAGUCAUCAUGCCCCUUAUGUCCAGGGCUUCACACAUGCUACAAUGGCCGGUACAAAGGGCUGCGAUGCCGUGAGGUGGAGCGAAUCCUUUCAAAGCCGGUCUCAGUUCGGAUCGGGGUCUGCAACUCGACCCCGUGAAGUCGGAGUCGCUAGUAAUCGCAGAUCAGCAACGCUGCGGUGAA
Molecule: ribosomal RNA, 1345 nt
Filed under: marine metagenome
Description: bacterial SSU rRNA
Rfam family: Bacterial small subunit ribosomal RNA
Source: RNAcentral